CACUUUGACUUGAAUCUGCGGCAGUUUGGACCCUACAGACUAAACUACUCUCGAACUGGAAGACACCUGGCUUUUGGAGGGCGCCGAGGUCAUGUGGCUGCCCUUGAUUGGGUAACAAAGAAGCUUAUGUGCGAGAUCAACGUCAUGGAGGCGGUGCGGGACAUCCGGUCAGUGGCCUCACUGUCAGCGGUCAGUUGGGGUGAGAUAGUCCAUUCCUGAUUGAAUGAUAGCCUGUGACCUCAUUUCCCAAUUGAACCACUCUUCCUCUCCCCCAGGUUUCUCCAUUCUGAGGCACUGCUUGCUGUUGCUCAGAACCGCUGGCUCCACAUCUAUGACAAUCAGGGCAUUGAGCUCCACUGUAUCCGCCGCUGUGACCGAGUAACACGGCUUGAGUUCCUGCCCUUCCACUUCCUCCUGGCUACAGCUUCAGAAACAGGGUUUCUAACCUACCUGGAUGUGUCAGUGGGGAAGAUUGUGGCAGCUCUGAAUGCUCGAGCUGGGCGGCUCGAUGUUAUGAGUCAGAACCCUUACAAUGCCGUCAUCCAUCUCGGACACAGCAAUGGUCAGUACCUGGCUUAGUUUUGACUCUGACCAUCCUGACUUGCUUUUCUUCUAUAUUUGUACUUCAUGAGUCCCUUAAAGUUACCCUUUUAUUUCCCUUUUUUGUUAUCUCUUGGUCUUGAGUUCCCAUCUUUCCCAUGUUUAGUAACCUCAGGCUUAGGUGUGUAUUAGCAACUUUGGUUCUUCUUCUCUUCCAGGUACUGUGUCUUUAUGGAGUCCAGCUAUGAAGGAGCCACUGGCAAAGAUUCUCUGUCAUCGUGGUGGGGUCCGGGCUGUGGCAGUAGAUUCUACAGGCACGUACAUGGCCACCUCUGGCCUAGACCACCAGCUGAAGAUCUUUGACUUGCGAGGGACGUACCAGCCUCUGAG
RNAcentral lists this long non-coding RNA (930 nucleotides) under Homo sapiens (human). RNAcentral's name for it is "HSALNT0105164". Lineage: Eukaryota; Metazoa; Chordata; Mammalia; Primates; Hominidae. The record is from RNAcentral.